CGUAGGGUGCAAGCGUUAAUCGGAAUUACUGGGCGUAAAGCGUGCGCAGGCGGCUUUGCAAGACAGAUGUGAAAUCCCCGGGCUCAACCUGGGAACUGCAUUUGUGACUGCAUGGCUCGAGUGCGGCAGAGGGGGAUGGAAUUCCGCGUGUAGCAGUGAAAUGCGUAGAUAUGCGGAGGAACACCGAUGGCGAAGGCAAUCCCCUGGGCCUGCACUGACGCUCAUGCACGAAAGCGUGGGGAGCAAACAGGAUUAGAUACCCUGGUAGUCCACGCCCUAAACGAUGUCAACUGGUUGUUGGACGGCUUGCUGUUCAGUAACGAAGCUAACGCGUGAAGUUGACCGCCUGGGGAAUACGGCCGCAAGGUUG
Molecule: ribosomal RNA, 370 nt
Filed under: uncultured organism
Description: bacterial SSU rRNA
Rfam family: Bacterial small subunit ribosomal RNA
Source: RNAcentral